Non-coding RNA from Aedes aegypti (yellow fever mosquito), 145 nucleotides. The record is from Rfam. NCBI's taxonomy places the organism in Eukaryota, Metazoa, Arthropoda, Insecta, Diptera, Culicidae.
GCCGCUGGAGCCGUGAGCCGUGCCUUUUGGAGAUGGCAACAGAAAUACUGGAAACCCAAGCGGCUGGGAAUUGCCCCGUUCUUCCAGGUCAUCGUCGGCGGAAUGGUGUUUCCCUGUGCCAUCAACUGCACCACAGGAACUACAA